CCUACGGGUGGCAGCAGUGAGGAAUAUUGGUCAAUGGGCGGAAGCCUGAACCAGCCAAGUAGCGUGCAGGAUGACGGCCCUACGGGUUGUAAACUGCUUUUAUACGGGAAUAACGCGCCUUACGUGUAGGGCUUUGCAUGUACCGUAUGAAAAAGCAUCGGCUAACUCCGUGCCAGCAGCCGCGGUAAUACGGAGGAUGCGAGCGUUAUCCGGAUUUAUUGGGUUUAAAGGGUGCGUAGGCGGAAGGUUAAGUCAGCGGUCAAAUGUCGGGGCUCAACACCGGCCUGCCGUUGAAACUGGGCUUCUUGAGUGAGCGAGAAGUAUGCGGAAUGCGUGGUGUAGCGGUGAAAUGCAUAGAUAUCACGCAGAACUCCGAUUGCGAAGGCAGCAUACCGGCUCUCUGGUCUGUAACUGACGCUGAGGUUCGAAAGCGUGGGUAGCAAACAGGAUUAGAUACCCGUGUAGUC
RNAcentral lists this ribosomal RNA (467 nucleotides) under uncultured bacterium. Its description in RNAcentral is "partial 16S ribosomal RNA". It matches the Rfam family "Bacterial small subunit ribosomal RNA", at positions 338 to 795 of the family's 1533-position model. The record is from RNAcentral.